GGACGAUUAGCUCAGCGGCAGAGCACUGCAUUCACAUUGCAGGGGCCGCAGGUUCAAAUCCUGCAUCGUCCACCA
RNAcentral lists this transfer RNA (75 nucleotides) under Candidatus Gottesmanbacteria bacterium RIFCSPHIGHO2_01_FULL_46_14. RNAcentral's name for it is "tRNA-Val". It matches the Rfam family "tRNA". From Rfam's summary of the family: Transfer RNA (tRNA) molecules are approximately 80 nucleotides in length. Lineage: Bacteria; Candidatus Gottesmaniibacteriota. RNAcentral also lists the same sequence under 1 other name. The record is from RNAcentral.